UGGUAAUUUGCCCGAGCCAGUCGUACCCCUGCACAUAUCCACACGAUAUGGGCGCGGGUCAGGGAAUCCGGUGGGAAUCCGGAGCUGACGCGCAGCGGUGAGGGUGACGGGCGGAGCAUCGGCCACUGGGUCCCGAGGGGCCCGGGAAGGCGCUCCGUCCGGAUGACCCCGAGUCCGAAGACCUGCUGGCGGCCCGGGCGGCAC
Molecule: non-coding RNA, 204 nt
Filed under: Streptomyces venezuelae
Lineage: Bacteria; Bacillati; Actinomycetota; Actinomycetes; Kitasatosporales; Streptomycetaceae
Source: RNAcentral